CAGCCACACUGGAACUGAGACACGGUCCAGACUCCUACGGGAGGCAGCAGUGGGGAAUAUUGCACAAUGGGCGCAAGCCUGAUGCAGCCAUGCCGCGUGUAUGAAGAAGGCCUUCGGGUUGUAAAGUACUUUCAGCGGGGAGGAAGGCGAUGCGGUUAAUAACCGCGUCGAUUGACGUUACCCGCAGAAGAAGCACCGGCUAACUCCGUGCCAGCAGCCGCGGUAAUACGGAGGGUGCAAGCGUUAAUCGGAAUUACUGGGCGUAAAGCGCACGCAGGCGGUCUGUUAAGUCAGAUGUGAAAUCCCCGGGCUUAACCUGGGAACUGCAUUUGAAACUGGCAGGCUUGAGUCUUGUAGAGGGGGGUAGAAUUCCAGGUGUAGCGGUGAAAUGCGUAGAGAUCUGGAGGAAUACCGGUGGCGAAGGCGGCCCCCUGGACAAAGACUGACGCUCAGGUGCGAAAGCGUGGGGAGCAAA
RNAcentral lists this ribosomal RNA (475 nucleotides) under Erwinia sp. RNAcentral describes it as "bacterial SSU rRNA". It matches the Rfam family "Bacterial small subunit ribosomal RNA", at positions 305 to 772 of the family's 1533-position model. Lineage: Bacteria; Pseudomonadati; Pseudomonadota; Gammaproteobacteria; Enterobacterales; Erwiniaceae. The record is from RNAcentral.